CCUACGGGAGGCAGCAGUAGGGAAUAUUGCUCAAUGGGGGAAACCCUGAAGCAGCAACGCCGCGUGGAGGAUGAAGGCUUUCGGAUUGUAAACUUCUUUUAUCAGAGAAGAAACUGACGGCAUUUGAUGAAUAAGCACCGGCUAACUCCGUGCCAGCAGCCGCGGUAAUACGGAGGGUGCAAGCGUUAUUCGGAUUCACUGGGCGUAAAGGGCGCGUAGGCGGGAUAGCAAGUCAGAUGUGAAAUCCUCGGGCUUAACCACAGAACUGCAUUUGAAACUGUGAUUCUAGAGUGCUGGAGAGGUAGGUGGAAUUCUUGGUGUAGCGGUGAAAUGCGUAGAUAUCAAGAGGAACACUCAUUGCGAAGGCGACCUGCUGGACUGUAACUGACGCUGAGGCGCGAAAGCGUGGGGAGCAAACAGGAUUAGAUACCCUUGUAGUC
Molecule: ribosomal RNA, 440 nt
Filed under: uncultured bacterium
Lineage: Bacteria
Description: partial 16S ribosomal RNA
Rfam family: Bacterial small subunit ribosomal RNA
Source: RNAcentral